GCGGGUAUAGCUCACUGGUAGAGCAUGUAUCUGGCAUGCACAAGGUCCUGGGUUCAUUCCCCAAUGCCUGUG
Molecule: transfer RNA, 72 nt
Filed under: Camelus dromedarius (Arabian camel)
Lineage: Eukaryota; Metazoa; Chordata; Mammalia; Artiodactyla; Camelidae
Also listed under: 1 other name
Rfam family: tRNA
About the family: Transfer RNA (tRNA) molecules are approximately 80 nucleotides in length. Their secondary structure includes four short double-helical elements and three loops (D, anti-codon, and T loops).
Source: Rfam by way of RNAcentral